GGACCGUCGAUGUCUACUAGUUGUCGGGUCUUAAUUGACUUGGUAACGCAGCUAACGCGUGAAGUAGACCGCCUGGGGAGUACGGUCGCAAGAUUAAAACUCAAAGGAAUUGACGGGGACCCGCACAAGCGGUGGAUGAUGUGGAUUAAUUCGAUGCAACGCGAAAAACCUUACCUACCCUUGACAUGGCUGGAAUCCCCGAGAGAUUGGGGAGUGCUCGAAAGAGAACCAGUACACAGGUGCUGCAUGGCUGUCGUCAGCUCGUGUCGUGAGAUGUUGGGUUAAGUCCCGCAACGAGCGCAACCCUUGUCAUUAGUUGCUACGAAAGGGCACUCUAAUGAGACUGCCGGUGACAAACCGGAGGAAGGUGGGGAUGACGUCAAGUCCUCAUGGCCCUUAUGGGUAGGGCUUCACACGUCAUACAAUGGUACAUACAGAGCGCCGCCAACCCGCGAGGGGGAGCUAAUCGCAGAAAGUGUAUCGUAGUCCGGAUUGUAGUCUGCAACUCGACUGCAUGAAGUUGGAAUCGCUAGUAAUCGCGGAUCAGCAUGUCGCGGUGAAUACGUUCCCGGGUCUUGUACACACCGCCCGUCACACCAUGGGAGCGGGUUUUACCAGAAGUAGGUAGCUUAACCGCAAGGAGGGCGCUUACCACGGUAGGAUUCGUGACUGGGGUGAAGUCUAAAAGGGGGGGACCAAAAAAAAAAAAAAAACCCCAAUUCCCCCAC
This 728-nucleotide ribosomal RNA is filed under the name Janthinobacterium lividum. RNAcentral's name for it is "bacterial SSU rRNA". It matches the Rfam family "Bacterial small subunit ribosomal RNA", at positions 797 to 1533 of the family's 1533-position model. Lineage: Bacteria; Pseudomonadati; Pseudomonadota; Betaproteobacteria; Burkholderiales; Oxalobacteraceae. The record is from RNAcentral.